RNA transcript from Passer domesticus (house sparrow), 7622 nucleotides. It is a transcript of the gene named POZ/BTB and AT hook containing zinc finger 1, with no coding region annotated. NCBI's taxonomy places the organism in Eukaryota, Metazoa, Chordata, Aves, Passeriformes, Passeridae. The record is from RefSeq and is a predicted model, not a curated record. The transcript is spliced from 8 exons.
GUGGGGGUCUUCUCGUCCAAAGAAGAGAGGAAAGUUUGCGGCGCCGGUGGUGAGGGUGCGUCGAAGCGGGCGGGGCCCGGACCGGGGCCGGCGGCGGCGGCGCUUGGUCGGGGAGCAGCAGCCGGGGGGCCCCCGCUGGAUUUUUGUAGGGGGGGUGGUAUCGCCCCCUCCUUCUCCUCCCCCCAGGGGUGAAAGUGCAAGAGGAAGUGCAGCCGCUGCCAUCUUUCCUCCGCUCCAAACACACAGGGACGGACGGAGCCGGCAGCCCGGAGCCGCCGCCGGACCCCCGUCCCUCCCGGCUGCAGCCGCCGCGCCGCGCACGCCCCUUCCCGCGGCGGCUCCGCGGCCGCAGCGCCUCGUGGCGGCCGGGCCCGGGCGGGGCUCGCGCGGCCGCGCGCGCGCCUCGGCCGCCCGAGCCUUUUGUCUCGCCCCCCCCGCGCCGCGCGAGCCCCUCGCGCUGUGCAGGGAGCGCCGCGCGCGCGCCGCCGGCCCGGGCAGGGGCGGGGAACGAGCAGGAGGAGGCGGCGCGCGCCGCCGGGCGGCCCGAGAGCGCGCGCGCCCCCUGCGGGCGCCGGCGGGGCGGCGCAGCCCCCAUGGAGCGGGUGAGCGAGGCCGCCGCCUGCGGCCCCUCGUCGGGCUGCUACACCUACCAGGUGAGCCGGCACAGCGCCGACGUGCUGCACAGCCUCAACCAGCAGCGCAAGAACGGCGGCCGUUUCUGCGACGUGCUCCUGCGCGUGGGCGACGAGAGCUUCCCGGCGCACCGCGCCGUGCUGGCCGCUUGCAGCGAGUACUUCGAGUCGGUGUUCAGCGCGCAGCUCGGCGACGGGGCAGGUGGCGGCGGCGGCGGCGCGGAGGGGAGCGCGGCGGAGGCGGCGGCCGGCGGGGCUGCGGCGGCGACCGGCGGCGCCCCCGGGGGCGGGCGGGAGCUGGAGAUGCACACCAUCAGCUCCAAGGUGUUCGGAGACAUCCUGGACUUCGCCUACACGUCGCGCAUCGUGGUGCGGCUGGAGAGCUUCCCGGAGCUCAUGACGGCCGCCAAGUUCCUGCUGAUGCGCUCUGUGAUCGACAUCUGCCAGGAGGUCAUCAAGCAGUCCAACGUGCAGCUCCUCGUGCCCCCCGCACGCCCUGACAUCAUGCUGUUCCGUCCGGGUGCUGCUGACCUCGGCUUCCCUCUUGACAUGACCAACGGUGCCACUUUGGCACCCAAUGGCAAUGGCAUUGCUGGCAUGCCUGAAGACGAGGCCACGCGGGCUGCGCUCAGCGCUGCGCAGUCCUCGCUGCCUGUCCUGCAGGGUGUGGACCGCCUGCCCAUGGUGGCAGGACCUCUGUCCCCACCGCUGCUGGCCUCACCCUUCCAGAAUGUUGCUGCUAGUGCCCCCACUUUAAGCACCAAGAGGGGCAGAGGGCGUCCCCGUAAAGCCAACCUCUUGGACUCCAUGAUGUUCGGUAGCCCAGGGGGCCUGCGAGAGGCUGGUAUCCUGCCUUGCGGUCUCUGUGGGAAAGUAUUCACGGAUGCGAAUCGUCUUCGGCAGCACGAGGCUCAACAUGGGGUGACAAGCUUACAGCUGGGCUACAUAGACAUCCCACCCCCGCGACUGGGUGAAAACGGUGUUCCUGGUCAGGACGACCCUGACGCACCUCGAAAAAGAAGCAGGACGAGGAAACAGGUGGCCUGUGAGAUCUGUGGCAAGAUUUUUCGGGACGUGUACCACCUGAAUCGGCACAAGCUGUCACACUCUGGCGAAAAGCCUUACUCUUGUCCCGUGUGUGGCUUGCGGUUCAAGCGAAAAGACAGGAUGUCCUAUCAUGUUCGAUCGCAUGAUGGCUCUGUGGGAAAGCCCUACAUCUGCCAGAGCUGUGGAAAAGGCUUUUCCAGGCCAGACCACUUGAAUGGACACAUCAAACAGGUGCAUACCUCAGAGAGACCUCACAAGUGUCAGCAGGAAAAUGGCAGCCACCAUGGAAUAAGCUCAGAGACAUCCACAUCCAUAGAAAAGUUGAAACUUCAAGAGACUUGUAAUGCUUCCUUUGCCACUCGUGACCGGCUGCGCUCACACCUGGCGUGUCACGAAGACAAAGUCCCCUGCCAGGUGUGUGGGAAGUACUUGAGAGCAGCAUAUAUGGCAGAUCACUUGAAGAAGCAUAGUGAAGGACCAAGCAAUUUCUGCACUAUCUGUAACCGAGGUUUCUCCUCUGCCUCCUACUUAAAGGUCCAUGUUAAAACCCACCACGGUGUUCCCCUUCCCCAGGUCUCCAGGCACCAGGAGUCCAUCCCGAAUGGGGGAGCAGCGUUCCACUGCGGCAGGACCUAUGGCAUCAAAGAAGGCCAGAAAUGUUCACAUUCGGACCCGAUUGAGAGUUCUGAUUCAUAUGGAGACCUCUCUGACACCAGUGACCUCAAGACUCCUGAGAAACAGAGCACCAAUGGGUCCUUCUCGUGUGACCUGGCAGUCAGCAAAAACAAAAUGGAGAUGGAAGGAGAGAAGAAGUACCCGUGCCCCGAAUGCGGCAGCUUUUUCAGAUCAAAGUCUUAUCUGAACAAACACAUACAGAAAGUGCACGUCAGGGCCCUUGGUGGCCCACUGGGGGACCUGGGUCCUGCUCUGGGAUCCCCCUUCUCACCCCAACAGAACAUGUCUCUUCUGGAGUCGUUUGGGUUUCAGAUCGUCCAGUCAGCAUUUGCAUCAUCCCUAGUGGAUCCAGAGGACCUGUUGUAGUGAAUUGCUACUGAAAAGCCAGUCUAAGGCGAUACACAGAGCACUCGUAAAGCAGCAGUCACAUUAGGCACCAGCACUUUCUAAAUUGAGAGCAUGUUGCAGUGGACUUGAUGUUUUGCUAUUAAUCUGUGUUGGGAGACUGAAGGACAUGUUCUUCUCCAGUCAUCUCCUCCCAGAAUCCUGGAAUAGGUAUGAGCCUCAUUUAAAAGGAAAAACCAGUGAAACAAACAAACCCCACCACUAAAGCUUCAUGGAAUUGCUCUUGUACUGGUAAGAUUAGUAGACAGGUAAAAACAGAACAUCUUAGAAAAGUGACAAAACAGUUUAAAAUACCUUACAAAUCUAGUGCUGAGACAACCUUGUAAGCUGCCAAGCAAAUCAGGAAAGAGCAGGCUUUCCAGUCAGCACAACAAUUUGUUGGGAUUAGCAAAUGCAGCUGCAGUCACUGAUUUACUAAUAGCUUAUAAUUAAUCCACAAGGGAAACUUCUGUUGAACUGAGGCUGUAUGCUGAAAGGCAGAAGUUUUUGUCCCCAGUGUUCCUAUAUGCACUCAAAGGUGCAUUAAUCAUAACAUUCAACUCCAAAAGCUAAGUCCAGAGUACAGAAUACUUUCAUCCUACAUUUAGCUCCCUGACUUUACUGUUACAAGUGGGUUGAAUUUUGGCUGUAUCUAUCAGAAUUUAAUUUUGAAUGCUACAGGAUUCGACCUGGUGAAACAAAAGCCUUUAUCUGAAAACGAAGCCUUCAAAAACACUGUGUAGUCUGCUUGUCAAAGAAAAUGCUUACUAAGUUGUCAUGAAUACAUUGAAUGAAAACUACUUACUUCUCAGUCUAGUGGACAGGGAAACAAUUAGGCAGGGGGUUAACAAUCCUGAAAUUACAGUUCUAGAUCAUCCUAGUGUAAAUGGAAGAGAUUUGUACCAACACUGGAGGUUGGUGCAGGCUAGUGCCAGUAGGAAGUUGGGCAGAUCUUUAGCUGUGGUGUGUUUUCAGAGCUUUUUGCUUCUUUGGGGGCAUACUGUUCCAUUCUGGACAGUAAUUUAAUCUACAUGCAAAUUCUUUCUAUUCUGUACUUUGGGAAAUGUCUGGUUCUUAUAGAACAUGAGACAGAUCUAAAGAGAAAACUCAGCCUCACAGUUCAGAGUUCAAAGGGAAGUAUGUAACAUGCCUUGAGCUGCAGCUUGUUGCUCCUGCAUUUUAUUUUUAAUUGGUGUGUAGAUGAUAGUUCUGAUUUGGGCCACUCUCUCUUCCUUGCCUUCCCCUUUGCAGGGACUGCAAGCCAAUGUUUGAGUUGGUGCACAUGUCAAGAAAGAAACUUCAAUUCAUGUAAAUUUAUAUCAUCAGACUUGUAGCAUUUGUUUGUAUUAUAGGAGUCCCAUAACCUCUCAUCUGAGGCUCAAGCCUUGUGUAUUAGGUGUGAUGAAAACAUCUUCAAUCAUUCAUAAUCUAAAUAUUAAAGACAGACAAGAAAGGAAUAGAUGCUUAUAAGAGAAUGAGUGAAAGAUAAAGGACUAAAAACCACUUGCAUGCAUGAUUAAGUGUUGUCUUAAAUGUGGGGGUCAUAAACUUCUCAGGCUUCUUUUGUUGCCUGAAUUUUUAAAUGGUAAUCCAGAACAAAUGCAAGGUAAAGCAAUUUAAUGUGAAUUUAUUCCCUACUGAGUUAAAUUAGGUGACAUGACCUUGCAUUUGUCAUGUCUUAAAUGUGUGCAAACAAUGUGGCUCACCUGACACGUGGCAAUGUGCAUGUGAGCUCUCAAUCCUAAGUGAUUUGCCCAUGAUGAUAUGGGAAAUUGAUAGCAGAACCAGAAAUUGAACACAGAUUUUUCCUUCUCUCAAUCCAGUGCCUUAAUUAUAGUAGGGCAAAGUAUUAUAUGUUGGGGGGAUGAGGUUUUUUUGGUUUUUAAAGCCUAAAACUAUUAAGAUGGUGUGGAGUUGGUCUUCCUACCAAUCUUUUGAAUAAUUGUAAAUGCCCAGUCACAAUUUUAGACCUGUUUGAGUGCCAGUGACUUAGGGAAUAUUUGUUAUUUCCCAUGUAUUCCCUGAAAUUAUUGUUCCUCCCUCAACUGCUGUCAGCAGUAAGGAAUGACUUGAAUAGAGAGCUGUGUAACUGAAUGUCUAUAACUCAACUAAUUGAAUUGCUAGUAUGAAAGCUAACCUAGAUUUUGUAGGCUCUGUUGUAACUUUAGUGUCUUGUUUUUUCACUAAAUCUUUGUUCCUAGAAUUCAGUAUCUAAAUUUACGUCUUGAGUCGGGAGUGGGGUACCACUUUCAGCUUUAAUUUUUUUUAAGGUGCUUGCUUGAGGAAGUAGAUGCCAAAGUAAACUUCAAAGGAACUCCAGACUUCAGUGUUGGAAGAAUGAAUGGAGAGCAAGAGCUCUCCUUGGGUUUCAUGAGAGAUAAAUGGACAAAGUCAAAAACAGCCACAAAAAUUCUAAAUAAUGAAACAGGAAAGGUUUUUCUUUACCAUCCACAAAAAUAAUAAAAUAUUUUCCAUUGUCACCAUGGCAUAAAAUCUGAGAGCAAGUGCCAAUCAACACAAUGUGCUGGCUUUUUCAGCAUUAUGAUUAUACCUUAACAGCACUGUCAAUACCAAAUGUAAAUUAAGCCAGCUUAGUACUGCUCACCUUUUUUCUUGGGCACAAUACCUGAGUUUUAUUUGAAUAGAGCAGAAGCUCACAGUGAAUCUCUGAGCUGAGGCUCUCAACUCUGCCCUGAGAGACGAAACAAAUGAGCAAAGAGGGGGAAAAAUAAACCCACUAGGAAAACUUAAAAAGGAAAACAAAUUCUGGAAGGCUCCAGUGUCUCUUGAAAGAGUCUCUUUUUUUUGUCCUGAACAUCCUUUUCAAAACAAGAUCCUUCAGCUGUUGUGAAUGAGCCCUUGGGAACAGAUUUGGCUUCCAGCCCAAUCUGCUGCAGCUCCCUGUCCCUGUGAGAAGGCAGCAUGUUCUGAGGACUGAGCCUGGGGUGCACAGGGAGGGGACAGGCAGUGCUCCUGGGCUGCAGCCACAGGUACAGGUACAGAGUCAGCCCCAGCACUGGCAGAGUGCUGUGUGCCUGCUGCUUUCAUCCUCACCCUCCACACCUCCUGUGCACACACUCGGGUGUGUGCAGCUCUGCAAAGAGCUGUUGGCUGUAAAACAAAGCAGGAGCUAUUUGGCUGAGAAGAAAAAAGAAAAAGCAGCACUUUAAAAUUAGAGUGCUAUGACAUAACUGCAGAGUGAUGCAGCCCAGGAGCAGGAGCCCUGGCUGUGAGGGCUUGUGGUGAUGGUUGGAAUGGUUAUGGCAUGUCAGUGAGAAACCACAGCUGUGCACUCUGUGGUGGCAGGCAGUGAUGGCCUGUUUGCCAAGAAUUAACUCCCUCUGUCAUCUCUAGCCUCUUCCUGUGUUGUGUUCCUGUCUGUGAGAUGAAAUGAUGAUAACCUUUGGGUAAAAACGUGCCAAUAUUUAAUUGAUGUGCCAAAUUGUGCUGCACAAUUUUGCUGCUGAACUCUGUCACAAAUGUUUGGCCUCACUGACUUCAGAUGUAAUGCAAAGUUAAACAUUUGGCCACAUUUUUCCUGAAAGGUGGGAUAUUUAAAUUUAUUUAAAGACUGCCUGGCACUAUUGAUCUGCUCUCAGGGUUUAUGUGAACGAAGCUUUUCCUGAGUGACCUCCAUACUUUUACUGCAAUUUUGAAGACCUGGAAGUGCUCUGAGCCAAGCUAUGCUGAAGGAGGGAGGUACCUGGAGUCUCACUGAUGUUCCAGUGACUCCCUCCCAGCUCCUGUGUUCCAUGUGGACCAUGGAGUCACUUCAUGCAGCCACUGGCAGCCAAAAAUGCUCUUGAGCAUCCUGCAGUCACAUAGUGACCUUGGGUAAGUGAUUUUAUAAUAAAUCAAUCUCAUGCUUGCUAAUACCUUUUUGGCUGCUGUGUCUACAAACUGGUGCCUUCUCCAGGCAAAUUUUACAUGCCCUCUGCAAAGUUGUCAGACUGACUGCUGGCUCUUAAGGAAUCAACCAAGCCUUGCUCUUGGGCUCAGAAUUUUUCUUUGGUACUGUUGUAAUCUGAAAGUUUGCUGCAAUUAGUGCAAAUACCAGAGUAAGAGAGAAAAUAAAAGGCUGUUCUUAGAUGUCUUGUAGAGUGAACAACUGAAACAUGAGUGUGGGAUGAGCCAGGAAAACUGGUAUUUUCCCCUGGCUGCACGCCAUAUGGAAGAGACAGUGCCUUGGAAGGGAAGGAGCAGAAAAGUUUGUCAUUGGCUCUGAUGAAUCCCAAUCCUGCUUCUACUGAAGUUGCUGGGAAUUCUCCCAUUGUCUUCAGUGGAGCAAGAAAGGAUCUUAGGUGAGGAUGGAUGACUCUUUCCCUACUUGAAUGAAGUCUCUUGCCUAUUUAUGGGCCUGCUUCUAUUGAAACCGAGCCUGUUUUAGCCUUUUUGGGUUCUUAGGGACCUGUUUGUAUAAAGCAACUUACCUACCUAUCUUUUUUUUUCUAUUGUGUGUAUUUUUUGUAUGUUCUGUUGGAAGGUGAAGCCUCUGUAGAAGGGGAUACAAAACCUGAUUUUUAAAUAGUAAUAAACCAAAAGAGAAUUAAACUCUGCAGGCUGCAUGCAUUCAUUUCCUGGAGAUGGAGAGUAGAGACCAUGAGUGCACAGAGAUGGCCUGGACUUCUCAUGUCUCAAAAUCUUCCUCUUUUCAGAGACAAUUCUGCCUUUGCACAUUUCCACAGCUCUAUGUGAGAAAUCAUAGUGUGGUGGGCAGGUUGCACAACUGUGUAUCAGGAUUGCCUUAUUUCGACUAGGAAAUCCUUUCUCUGGCACUGUGUGGUGAGAUUUCUUGUUUCAGCGUAAGUGGAUGAGUAUCUGUGAAGUUUGGUAUUGUCCUCACUGAAUGGCAGUGAAAUAAAACUGAGGUCAUUAAUAAAUAGA